UACGUAGGGGGCAAGCGUUGUCCGGAAUCAUUGGGCGUAAAGAGCGUGUAGGCGGCCAGAAAAGUCCGCUGUGAAAACUCGAGGCUCAACUUCGAGCUGUCGGUGGAAACUUUCUGGCUAGAGUCCGGAAGAGGAGAAUGGAAUUCCUGGUGUAGCGGUGAAAUGCGCAGAUAUCAGGAAGAACACCCGUGGCGAAGGCGGUUCUCUGGGACGGUACUGACGCUGGAGACGGCGAAAGCCGUGGGGAGCGAACAGG
Molecule: ribosomal RNA, 256 nt
Filed under: uncultured bacterium
Lineage: Bacteria
Description: partial 16S ribosomal RNA
Rfam family: Bacterial small subunit ribosomal RNA
Source: RNAcentral